Non-coding RNA from Pelobates cultripes (western spadefoot toad), 96 nucleotides. The record is from the annotation of a GenBank genome assembly. Lineage: Eukaryota; Metazoa; Chordata; Amphibia; Anura; Pelobatidae.
GAGUUCAUCUGCAUGUAUGUGUUUAUGCAUAUAUAUAUAUAUAUAUAUAUAUAAAUGCAUAAACACAUACAUACAUGCAGAUGAACUCAUAUACAC